UCCUGACACAAGGUUAGAAUUCUAGCUCUUCCAGAGUGGUAUCUCACUGAUGGCUCGGGUCCCCCGGAAAGGGGCCUUCUUCUUCCGCUUCUGUACAAGCGCGGAAUCUCUAAUUGGAAGAGGGUCAUGAGCAAAUUCAGGGUCUGGAACGGGCCCUAGAGAACGAGGGGGAUCCAGGCCGGCGUCGGGAAUUAGGCGCGCG
RNAcentral lists this long non-coding RNA (202 nucleotides) under Capsella rubella. RNAcentral describes it as "long non-coding RNA (CRUB_LNC004876)". The record is from RNAcentral. Lineage: Eukaryota; Viridiplantae; Streptophyta; Magnoliopsida; Brassicales; Brassicaceae.